This 987-nucleotide ribosomal RNA is filed under the name human gut metagenome. RNAcentral's name for it is "bacterial LSU rRNA". It matches the Rfam family "Bacterial large subunit ribosomal RNA", at positions 1942 to 2925 of the family's 2925-position model. The record is from RNAcentral.
AUAACGGUCCUAAGGUAGCGAAAUUCCUUGUCAGGUAAGUUCUGACCCGCACGAAUGGCGUAAUGAUUUGGGCACUGUCUCAACAGCCCGCCCGGCGAAAUUGUAGUACUGGUGAAGAUGCCAGUUACCCGCAACUAGACGGAAAGACCCCAUGGAGCUUUACUGCAGCUUAAUACUGGAAAUCGGUAAUUCAUGUACAGGAUAGGUGGGAGACGGAGAAGCAUGGUCGUCAGGUCAUGUGGAGUCGCCCUUGGGAUACCACUCUUGGAUUGCUGGUUUUCUAACCUGCGGCCGUGAAUCCGGUCGGGGGACACUGUUAGGCGGGCAGUUUGACUGGGGCGGUCGCCUCCAAAAAGGUAACGGAGGCGCUCAAAGGUUCGUUCAGCACGGACGGAAAUCGUGCAUUGAGUGUAAACGCAUAAACGAGCCUAACUGCGAGACCGACGGGUCGAGCAGUAACGAAAGUUGGAGUUAGUGAUCCGGUGGUAUGUGAGUGGAAAUGCCAUCGCUCAACGGAUAAAAGUUACCCUGGGGAUAACAGGCUGAUCUCCCCCAAGAGUCCACAUCGACGGGGAGGUUUGGCACCUCGAUGUCGGCUCAUCGCAUCCUGGGGCUGAAUUCGGUCCCAAGGGUUUGGCUGUUCGCCAAUUAAAGCGGUACGCGAGCUGGGUUCAGAACGUCGUGAGACAGUUCGGUCCCUAUCUGUCGUGGGCGCAGGAUAUUUGAUGGGAGCUGUCCCUAGUACGAGAGGACCGGGACGGACGUACCUCUGGCGCACCAGUUGUUCCGCCAGGAGCAUAGCUGGGCAACUACGUACGGAUCGGAUAAACGCUGAAAGCAUCUAAGCGUGAAGCCGACCCAAAGAUAAGAUAUCCCAUUGUUUCAAACAAGUAAGACCCCUUGAAGACUACAAGGUUGAUAGGCACGAUGUGUAAGUGGAGCGAUCCAUUCAGCAAGCGUGUACUAAUAGGUCGAGGGCUUGACCAC